Molecule: ribosomal RNA, 301 nt
Filed under: uncultured bacterium
Lineage: Bacteria
Description: partial 16S ribosomal RNA
Rfam family: Bacterial small subunit ribosomal RNA
Source: RNAcentral
CAGCCGCCGCGGGAAUACGGAGGGGGCUAGCGUUGUUCGGAAUUACUGGGCGUAAAGCGUACGUAGGCGGCUUUGUAAGUUAGAGGUGAAAGCCCGGGGCUCAACCCCGGAAUUGCCUUUAAGACUGCAUCGCUUGAAUCGCGGAGAGGUGAGUGGAAUUCCGAGUGUAGAGGUGAAAUUCGUAGAGAUCGGAAGGAACAUCUGUGGCGAAGGCGACUAUCUGGGCCAACACUGACACUGAGGCACGAAAGCGUGGGGAGUAAACAGGAUUAGAUACCCCAGUAGUCCCUGUCUCUUAUAA